UGGCUCAGAUUGAACGCUGGCGGCAGGCCUAACACAUGCAAGUCGAGCGGUAGAGAGAAGCUUGCUUCUCUUGAGAGCGGCGGACGGGUGAGUAAUACCUAGGAAUCUGCCUGAUAGUGGGGGAUAACGUUCGGAAACGGACGCUAAUACCGCAUACGUCCUACGGGAGAAAGCAGGGGACCUUCGGGCCUUGCGCUAUCAGAUGAGCCUAGGUCGGAUUAGCUAGUUGGUGAGGUAAUGGCUCACCAAGGCUACGAUCCGUAACUGGUCUGAGAGGAUGAUCAGUCACACUGGAACUGAGACACGGUCCAGACUCCUACGGGAGGCAGCAGUGGGGAAUAUUGGACAAUGGGCGAAAGCCUGAUCCAGCCAUGCCGCGUGUGUGAAGAAGGUCUUCGGAUUGUAAAGCACUUUAAGUUGGGAGGAAGGGCAGUUACCUAAUACGUGAUUGUCUUGACGUUACCGACAGAAUAAGCACCGGCUAACUCUGUGCCAG
RNAcentral lists this ribosomal RNA (496 nucleotides) under Pseudomonas fragi. RNAcentral's name for it is "bacterial SSU rRNA". It matches the Rfam family "Bacterial small subunit ribosomal RNA", at positions 20 to 511 of the family's 1533-position model. Lineage: Bacteria; Pseudomonadati; Pseudomonadota; Gammaproteobacteria; Pseudomonadales; Pseudomonadaceae. The record is from RNAcentral.